GAAAGUGGGGGACCGCAAGGCCUCAUGCUAUAGGAGCGGCCGAUGUCUGAUUAGCUAGUUGGUGAGGUAAAGGCUCACCAAGGCGACGAUCAGUAGCUGGUCUGAGAGGACGAUCAGCCACACUGGGACUGAGACACGGCCCAGACUCCUACGGGAGGCAGCAGUGGGGAAUUUUGGACAAUGGGCGAAAGCCUGAUCCAGCAAUGCCGCGUGUGUGAAGAAGGCCUUCGGGUUGUAAAGCACUUUUGUCCGGAAAGAAAUGGCUCUGGUUAAUACCUGGGGUCGAUGACGGUACCGGAAGAAUAAGGACCGGCUAACUACGUGCCAGCAGCCGCGGUAAUACGUAGGGUCCAAGCGUUAAUCGGAAUUACUGGGCGUAAAGCGUGCGCAGGCGGUUGUGCAAGACCGAUGUGAAAUCCCCGAGCUUAACUUGGGAAUUGCAUUGGUGACUGCACGGCUAGAGUGUGUCAGAGGGGGGUAGAAUUCCACGUGUAGCAGUGAAAUGCGUAGAGAUGUGGAGGAAUACCGAUGGCGAAGGCAGCCCCCUGGGAUAACACUGACGCUCAUGCACGA
Molecule: ribosomal RNA, 573 nt
Filed under: uncultured Ralstonia sp.
Lineage: Bacteria; Pseudomonadati; Pseudomonadota; Betaproteobacteria; Burkholderiales; Burkholderiaceae
Description: bacterial SSU rRNA
Rfam family: Bacterial small subunit ribosomal RNA
Source: RNAcentral